Molecule: ribosomal RNA, 1307 nt
Filed under: uncultured bacterium
Lineage: Bacteria
Description: bacterial SSU rRNA
Rfam family: Bacterial small subunit ribosomal RNA
Source: RNAcentral
AACGUACGCUGGCGGCACGCCUAACACAUGCAAGUCGAACGAAGUAGCAAUACUUAGUGGCAGACGGGUGAGUAACAUGUAGGUAUCUGCCCUUUGGCCUGGAAUAAUACGAGGAAACUUGUGCUAAUACCGGAUAAGUCUUUACAGAGAAAGCUUUAUGCACCAUUGGAUGAGCCUGCACUUGAUUAGUUUGUUGGUGGGGUAAUGGCCUACCAAGACUGUGAUCAAUAGCUGAUUUGAGAGGAUGAUCAGCCACAUUGGGACUGAGACACGGCCCAAACUCCUACGGGAGGCAGCAGUGGGGAAUCUUGCACAAUGGAGGAAACUCUGAUGCAGCGAUGCCGCGUGAGUGAAGAAGGCCUUUGGGUUGUAAAGCUCUUUCGUCGGGGAAGAAAAUGACUGUACCCGAAUAAGAAGGUCCGGCUAACUUCGUGCCAGCAGCCGCGGUAAUACGAAGGGACCUAGCGUAGUUCGGAAUUACUGGGCUUAAAGAGUUCGUAGGUGGUUGAAAAAGUUGGUGGUGAAAUCCCAGAGCUUAACUCUGGAACUGCCAUCAAAACUUUUCAGCUAGAGUAUGAUAGAGGAAAGCAGAAUUUCUAGUGUAGAGGUGAAAUUCGUAGAUAUUAGAAAGAAUACCAAUUGCGAAGGCAGCUUUCUGGAUCAUUACUGACACUGAGGAACGAAAGCAUGGGUAGCGAAGAGGAUUAGAUACCCUCGUAGUCCAUGCCGUAAACGAUGUGUGUUAGACGUUGGAAAUUUAUUUUCAGUGUCGCAGCGAAAGCGAUAAACACACCGCCUGGGGAGUACGACCGCAAGGUUAAAACUCAAAUGAAUUGACGGGGACCCGCACAAGUAGUGGAGCAUGUGGUUUAAUUCGAAGAUACGCGCAGAACCUUACCAACACUUGACAUGUUCGUCGCGACUUUAAGAGAUUAGAGUUUUCGGUUCGGCCGGACGAAACACAGGUGCUGCAUGGCUGUCGUCAGCUCGUGUCGUGAGAUGUUGGGUUAAGUCCCGCAACGAGCGCAACCCUCACUUUUAGUUGCCAUCAUUAAGUUGGGCACUCUGAAAGAACUGCCAGUGAUAAGCUGGAGGAAGGUGGGGAUGACGUCAAGUCCUCAUGGCCCUUACGUGUUGGGCUACACACGUGCUACAAUGGUAUCUACAACAGGAAGCAAAACUGCGAGGUUAAGCAAAUCCUUAAAAGAUACCUCAGUUCGGAUUGCACUCUGCAUCUCGAGUGCAUGAAGCUGGAAUUACUAGUAAUCGCGGAUCAGCGCGCCGCGGUGAAUACGUUCCCGGGUCUU